ACGGGAGGCAGCAGUGGGGGAUAUUGCACAAUGGGGGAAACCCUGAUGCAGCGACGCCGCGUGAGUGAUGAAGCAUUUCGGUAUGUAAAGCUCUAUCAGCAGGGAAGAAAAUGACGGUACCUGACUAAGAAGCACCGGCUAAAUACGUGCCAGCAGCCGCGGUAAUACGUAUGGGGCAAGCGUUAUCCGGAUUUACUGGGUGUAAAGGGAGUGUAGGUGGUCUGGCAAGUCAGAUGUGAAAGCCCGCGGCUCAACCGCGGGACUGCAUUUGAAACUGUCAGACUGGAGUGCAGGAGAGGAAAGUGGAAUUCCUAGUGUAGCGGUGAAAUGCGUAGAUAUUAGGAAGAACACCAGUGGCGAAGGCGGCUUUCUGGACUGUAACUGACGCUGAGGCUCGAAAGCGUGGGGAGCAAACAGGAUUAGAUACCCUGGUA
Molecule: ribosomal RNA, 434 nt
Filed under: uncultured Lachnospiraceae bacterium
Lineage: Bacteria; Bacillati; Bacillota; Clostridia; Lachnospirales; Lachnospiraceae
Description: partial 16S ribosomal RNA
Rfam family: Bacterial small subunit ribosomal RNA
Source: RNAcentral